RNAcentral lists this ribosomal RNA (253 nucleotides) under uncultured bacterium. RNAcentral's name for it is "partial 16S ribosomal RNA". It matches the Rfam family "Bacterial small subunit ribosomal RNA", at positions 524 to 776 of the family's 1533-position model. The record is from RNAcentral.
UACGUAGGGUGCGAGCGUUGUCCGGAUUUAUUGGGCGUAAAGAGCUCGUAGGCGGUUUGUCGCGUCUGCUGUGAAAACCUAAGGCUCAACCUUGGGCUUGCAGUGGGUACGGGCAGACUAGAGUGCGGUAGGGGUGACUGGAAUUCCUGGUGUAGCGGUGGAAUGCGCAGAUAUCAGGAGGAACACCGAUGGCGAAGGCAGGUCACUGGGCCGCAACUGACGCUGAGGAGCGAAAGCAUGGGGAGCGAACAGG